RNAcentral lists this ribosomal RNA (412 nucleotides) under Klebsiella pneumoniae. RNAcentral's name for it is "partial 23S ribosomal RNA". It matches the Rfam family "Bacterial large subunit ribosomal RNA", at positions 451 to 867 of the family's 2925-position model. RNAcentral also lists the same sequence under 1 other name. The record is from RNAcentral. Lineage: Bacteria; Pseudomonadati; Pseudomonadota; Gammaproteobacteria; Enterobacterales; Enterobacteriaceae.
GACCAUCCUCCAAGGCUAAAUACUCCUGACUGACCGAUAGUGAACCAGUACCGUGAGGGAAAGGCGAAAAGAACCCCGGCGAGGGGAGUGAAAAAGAACCUGAAACCGUGUACGUACAAGCAGUGGGAGCACCUUCGGGUGUGACUGCGUACCUUUUGUAUAAUGGGUCAGCGACUUAUAUUCUGUAGCAAGGUUAACCGUAUAGGGGAGCCGCAGGGAAACCGAGUCUUAACUGGGCGUUAAGUUGCAGGGUAUAGACCCGAAACCCGGUGAUCUAGCCAUGGGCAGGUUGAAGGUUGGGUAACACUAACUGGAGGACCGAACCGACUAAUGUUGAAAAAUUAGCGGAUGACUUGUGGCUGGGGGUGAAAGGCCAAUCAAACCGGGAGAUAGCUGGUUCUCCCCGAAAGCU